Gymnodraco acuticeps is the source of this 1001-nucleotide RNA transcript. It is a transcript of the gene named testis-expressed protein 43-like, with no coding region annotated. NCBI's taxonomy places the organism in Eukaryota, Metazoa, Chordata, Actinopteri, Perciformes, Bathydraconidae. The transcript has 2 exons. The record is from RefSeq and is a predicted model, not a curated record.
GAAGAAGAAGAAGAAGAAGAAGAAGAAGAAGAAGAAGAAGAAGACAUUUUAGAAACCAGAUCACAUUGUUUGAUCUAAAAAUCGUGCGCUUCAAAAAAGGCAAGACAAAGAAAGCUUUAGACCUCUGGCAACAAGCAGGAGGUAGAGAUUUCAUCACCAGGUCUUUAAUUUCUCAUGGUUUUAGUGAAGUUAAUGUUACAACUGAGCAGUGGUCCUCAGUUACACUUACAGUGUUUAAAAGUAAUAAGAAAGAGCAUCUUAAGUGGUUGAGGGUAAUCUGGGGUGAAGACCGACGUGGAGUCCGGACUGAGGUGCUUCAAGCAGAACGCAGCUCUUACAAAGGUCCCUGUGGUUCCUCUUGAGGAGUCUUUAUGGUUUUGUGGUCGGGAACGUCUCUGCCACAGUCAGGAAUCCCCCUCCUCCUCCUUUGCUCUGCUCACCCAAUCAGGACAGACAGCUCAUCACUCCUCCCACUUCUCCAGGUAAAACACUUCAGACAGGAAACGAAAAACAGGUGUUGUUUCUACAUUUUCAGGUAAAUGUUUGAUGAUUUUCUGACAUCUUUUUACUCUGCUGCAGAUACAACAGCUCUGUGGUGACCACCAGGGGCCUCUACCAAACAUGAAGGCAUAUCACACACAUGAAUAAACACAUCUGCACAGCUUAACUUUUACUAUUGCUUUUACAGAUAUAGGAAAUUGAAAUGGUCCCUUAGUUCAGUUUUCAAAAGAAGAAUCAAUCCCAGUUUAGAUUUGAAAAAGAAAAAAACCAGGAUGCCUCACAAAAUACAAACAUUUAUUUAGUUUUUUUCCGCAUGGUUUAAACCAGCUAGAACCAGAUAGAAGAGUUGCGACAACGGAAGUCCAAAAUGCUUGAUCGUCACGUGGUUCAGGGAGACUCAAUAGUUCCCAGGAAGUUCGUGGCGGGCCAUUUGAAUCACGAUUUGAAUGCAUUAAUACCAGGAUAGAAAUGCAAUUUUUGGUAAUUAGUGGUCAAUAAAG